UGUAGUCUGGCCGGAGGCUUCUGGCCCCUGACCUGACGUGCUCCUUGGAGUCAAAGGUGAUACCACCCUCCAAGAAGGCAUCGGGACACGAGUCUGAGAGUGACUUUGGCUACACUGGGAGACAACACCAGAAACUUCAAAUUGGAGGCCCCUGGAAGCAAUAAAGCCUAAGUCAAAUGGCUUCCUGACCAUGAGGAGGGAACCUCGAGGUUCCCAGAGGACUUCUGACGCUUCGAGAAAGCUGGGAAAGAAAAGCAGAGGGGGCUUCCAGAGCAAGAGGCAUUUAGGGGAACUGGAGAGCAAAAAUGCUGUCCCAGGUUCUGUAGAGAAGCGCUGUACUCUCUGUGUCUAGAAGUGAAGGUUCAAACCCAGAACCUGUGGACACGAACAAGUACUCCACCCCUGCCUGAUUUACACUCUGCUCAAAACUGUUCGUUUCUUACAGCAGAAUCUCACUGCGUUGUCUUGGCUGGUCAAACUCAAGCUCACACUAGCCGAUUACUUCAGCUCCCUGGCCCCUGAAACUGGAACACCAUUGCAGUCAGCCGACAGGUGUUUGUAGACAGCAUGAGGUCCUUGUGGUCACAGAUUAAACAAUAGGGAAACCAGGAGUGUUAAACAUGAAGGGUUGUCUCCUC
Molecule: long non-coding RNA, 638 nt
Filed under: Rattus norvegicus (Norway rat)
Lineage: Eukaryota; Metazoa; Chordata; Mammalia; Rodentia; Muridae
Description: long non-coding RNA NONRATT015448
Source: RNAcentral